AUUGAACGCUGGCGGCAUGCUUUACACAUGCAAGUCGGACGGCAGCGGGGGUGCUUGCACCUGCCGGCGAGUGGCGAACGGGUGAGUAACAUAUUGGAAUGUACCGAGUAGUGGGGGAUAACCAAUCGAAAGAUUGGCUAAUACCGCAUACGUCCUGAGGGGGAAAGCAGGGGAUCUUCGGACCUUGCGCUAUUUGAGCAGCCAAUAUCUGAUUAGCUAGUUGGUGGGGUAAAGGCCCACCAAGGCGACGAUCAGUAGCGGGUCUGAGAGGAUGAUCCGCCACACUGGGACUGAGACACGGCCCAGACUCCUACGGGAGGCAGCAGUGGGGAAUUUUGGACAAUGGGGGCAACCCUGAUCCAGCCGUGCCGCGUGUCUGAAGAAGGCCUUCGGG
RNAcentral lists this ribosomal RNA (394 nucleotides) under uncultured Neisseriaceae bacterium. Its description in RNAcentral is "bacterial SSU rRNA". It matches the Rfam family "Bacterial small subunit ribosomal RNA", at positions 30 to 422 of the family's 1533-position model. The record is from RNAcentral. Lineage: Bacteria; Pseudomonadati; Pseudomonadota; Betaproteobacteria; Neisseriales; Neisseriaceae.